CGGGAUGUAGCCGAGGGGUUAAGGCAGUGGAUCUUGAUUCCACGAACGGGGGUUCGAAUCCUUCCAUCCCGU
RNAcentral lists this transfer RNA (72 nucleotides) under Sodalis ligni. It matches the Rfam family "tRNA". From Rfam's summary of the family: Transfer RNA (tRNA) molecules are approximately 80 nucleotides in length. Their secondary structure includes four short double-helical elements and three loops (D, anti-codon, and T loops). Further hydrogen bonds mediate the characteristic L-shaped molecular structure. tRNAs have two regions of fundamental functional importance: the anti-codon, which is responsible for specific mRNA codon recognition, and the 3' end, to which the tRNAs corresponding amino acid is attached (by aminoacyl-tRNA synthetases). tRNAs cope with the degeneracy of the genetic code in two manners: having more than one tRNA (with a specific anti-codon) for a particular amino acid; and 'wobble' base-pairing, i.e. permitting non-standard base-pairing at the 3rd anti-codon position. Lineage: Bacteria; Pseudomonadati; Pseudomonadota; Gammaproteobacteria; Enterobacterales; Bruguierivoracaceae. The record is from Rfam by way of RNAcentral.